UACGUAGGGUGCAGGCGUUAAUCGGAAUUACUGGGCGUAAAGCGUGCGCAGGCGGUUUCUUAAGUCAGAUGUGAAAGCCCCGGGCUUAACCUGGGAACUGCGUUUGAAACUGGGAGACUUGAGUGUGGCAGAGGGGGGUGGAAUUCCACGUGUAGCAGUGAAAUGCGUAGAUAUGUGGAGGAACACCGAUGGCGAAGGCGGCAUCCUGGACCAAUAUUGACGCUGAGGAGCGAAAGCCAGGGGAGCAAACGGG
Molecule: ribosomal RNA, 253 nt
Filed under: uncultured bacterium
Lineage: Bacteria
Description: partial 16S ribosomal RNA
Rfam family: Bacterial small subunit ribosomal RNA
Source: RNAcentral